ACACACACAUAUAUGCUGUCUCCAGUCCGUCAUGGCUGGUGAGCGGAAGGACCAUGGUGGAUACGUAGCAGGUGGGAUUUAACGUUUGUGUUUGCCUGUGCGUACCCAAGUAGACAAAACUGUGUGUGUGUGUGUGUGUGUAUUUUGUGUGGCCAGCAUGGUGGCCUUAUGACGCGGCUGUAGUUCGUUUGGUAUCACUAUGGCGGGCUUCAACACCACACACACACACACAACGGUCUCCUUUCCUGUUUCAUUCACUGGGGUACCUACUUUAUCGGAUGCUCUGAUGGUAUGGCUCGUGGGCGUGUGGCCUGCUCUGAUUGUUAUUUUGGUUUUAUUUACCAAGGCAGACCCUUGUCCCUUGUUCAAGCCAGGAGCGAUAAAGCAGUGCUGUGGUUAUGUUGGGCUUGUCUGCCGUCACAGUGCGAGGUUUCAUGAGAAGUGUGCUUGUCUGUAUGAGUGGUGGCUGCCGCCUUUGUCACCAGGUACAGCGACCGCUUCCCGCCCUGGAUUGAAUAUACGUUGUUGCACUCUGUUACACUGUUUAAGUAGCCUGGUCACGCGUGUCCUUUGCUGGAAGCUUGGCUGGACCUACUGCUCUCGCAUGCACCUGGUUGGCUUUGACAGUUGUCGGGUCGGCUGGACUGCAUGUACGUCGCUCAGCGGUUUUUCCCUGAGUAGGACUGAUCACGCUUUUGUGUGAUGGCUUUUGCUGUUGCCAAGAGCAAAAUAACUGUACAACUUUGAGCGGUGGAUCACUCGGCUCGUGUGUCGAUGAAGAGCGCAGCCAACUGUGUGAAUUAAUGUGAAUUGCAGACUGCUUUGAACAUCGACAACUUGAACGCACAUUGCGGCCAUGGGCUCGCCUGUGGCCACGUCUGACCGAGGGUCGGCUUAUAAACUAUCACGACGCCCAACAAGUCGUGGAUUGGAAGGACUUGCCAGCCAGCGUGAUUUCUCCACUAGCGUGUCUGUUGGCAUAAGUGGAGUGCUGCAGCAAUGGCGCCUUCUCAAGGUAUCUCCAACAGCUAGUUUGUUCCCCUACGCGACGAAACAGUGCUGGUGCUUAUGUGUACGCGAGUGCAUAUGAUUUUACGAUAUUGCACUGAGUAGGCUGGUGCAACAGCUGCACACGGGUUGUGUCCCAAUGUUGCUUUUUACUUGAUGACCCUGUGCAACGGUUUAUAUUGUUGCGUUCAGCUGCGCGUGAACAGCACACAACGUUUUGGUUCGCUAUGGGUGGAUAAAGUGGAGGAAAGGACAUCUACUGUUGCGAGUCGCUUGGCCAGGUUGAAGCGGUAUGCUACUGUUGCCACCACCAUCACUUGAGAAGAAGGAAAAGACUGGCUAUGGUGCCAUGGUGUGGUGCUGCUAGUGUUCACUUCUGCCUCCCUUGCCUGACCUCGGAUUAGACGUGAUUACCCGCUGAACUUAAGCAUA
Molecule: unclassified non-coding RNA, 1440 nt
Filed under: Aspidogaster limacoides
Lineage: Eukaryota; Metazoa; Platyhelminthes; Trematoda; Aspidogastridae
Description: sequence contains ITS1, 5.8S rRNA gene, ITS2
Rfam family: 5.8S ribosomal RNA (bases 740-892)
Source: RNAcentral